CUUGGUUGAAUGUAUUUUGAUGAAUCUUUCCUUCAGAAUUAGGACUUUAAGGAAAUUCGUGGACAGUGGGAAGACAGAAGAUCUCAGUCAAACACCUACUUUCUAUCUUUGAAAUUCUAGCAACAGCUUAGUCCUGAAAAACAUAUCUUCCUGUGUAAUACUUGUAACAGUGGCUCUUCUCGAAUAUGUUUUAUUAAUCUUUCAAGAAAUGCCAUCAUCACAUUCCUGUCUUAAGAUGAGGAAAUGGAGCCAAAUGGAAAGCUGACUGUUAAGACCAGUUUGUCACUUUUGGGAAACACUUGGUGAGGAAUACCCCCCAUAUGCCAAGCCCUUGAGGCCUGCCCCUGGCUUGCACUGAAGAGGCUCUCCCAUGCUGGCGAUCUGCAGGCGCUCCAGGGGGAAUGUACGACACGAAAUGAUCAAUCAUGAAACCAUUUUACUGUCAUUAAAACCUCUUUGUGAGUGAUCACUGUUCUUUCUUCAUAUGAGAU
Canis lupus familiaris (dog) is the source of this 491-nucleotide long non-coding RNA. RefSeq lists it as uncharacterized. The record is from RefSeq and is a predicted model, not a curated record. The transcript has 3 exons. Lineage: Eukaryota; Metazoa; Chordata; Mammalia; Carnivora; Canidae.